Non-coding RNA from Macaca mulatta (Rhesus monkey), 1580 nucleotides. The record is from RefSeq and is a predicted model, not a curated record. Lineage: Eukaryota; Metazoa; Chordata; Mammalia; Primates; Cercopithecidae.
CAUCAUUCAUUUAUUGUUUACCAUAACCCAUUGCACACAAAGGUUGCAAAAUCUCCAAGUUAGAGGAAAUCCUGAGAGGCUGCAAAAUUAUGAUUAUAUCUCAUAUACCACAGUAUAUUGUUCCGAUGAAUCUUUUGCAUGGUUAGCUGUUGUUUACAUAUAAAUACCUUCUCCGGAAAUAAAAAAUGUACUGAAGGUAACAGGAGCUGCAAAGCUUAGCAGAUCCGAUGAUCCCAAGAUCAUGCAGUAAGGCUUGCUUCUUCAUCCAUAAAUAAAGCACAUUUGCAUCCAUUCAGUCAAAUUAGCUCCAUUAAAAAGGUGGUUAUAAUUAGCUCCUUUUUCUGGUUCACGGGUAAAAUUCUUGCAUGCCUGCUGUUUUGAUUAAAUCCACCAUUGUCUUCCAAUAGCUAGUGCUAAUUCUUCCAAGGAAAUCUUCAGUUGAGGUGUUAUUUUAUUCUGCACUUCCGUUAGUUGUCUAAUUUACGCCAAGUCCCUGCAGUGUUUCCUUAAGCCAUCCUCUUUGUCUUGCCUUUGAAAUUUACCAAAUCUUACAAGAAAUCAAUACUUAAUUGAUUAUUCACUUUUCUGCAGCUUCAAACAGCAAGCACGCAUAAGAUCCUGGAGUAGUCCCCCGAUUUCCAAUGCAGGAGGUUGCUUGGUGGCAGAGCUCUGCAAGUGUCCAACAGCAGGCAUUCCAUGGAGCCGUGCACUGGCGUGGAGUGCCAGCCAGCGUCUGAUAAAGAAAACGAAGAUACUCUAACGAAGCAGGAAAACUUCCUGGAUGAGGCAGAUCCAUCUCAAGGCUUUGGAUAAAAGGCUGAAGCAGGAGCAAUUGGAUACCAGAACAUUAUAAAUUUUUUUUUUUUUUACAUUAUUCCUUUUGCUUUUUGCUUACCAUUUUCUUCCCAUGGCACUGAAGUGGAAUAUCCCAAGUGCCACCGAACUCAGAGAAUUCCACGCCGGAAUGGGGGUGGCAUCCUGUUAUUACAGAAAUAUCUUUCAUAAAUUAUGAUUUUUUUUUUCAACAAAUGGAAGUAAUGCAACACCUAUUUGGUAUACUCAUCAUAUACGUUAAAUCUAACAAUGGCAUAUAAUUGAUAACAUCAGCAGGUCAAUCUACAAAUAUUCUGUAUCAUGGCAUUUCUGAGAAGCAAUUUUUAAUUUAACAACACGGAGAAUCUGGUGUGAGAGAGACCUGACUUACUGAUCUGAGAUGCAGUUUUUCAUUGUCAUGGAAUUCUUAAAUUUCAGACAGAUUCUGCAGAAAGAAACCAAAUCUAACUCGGUUCAACAAAUUCUUGAUUCAUCAGAUUUGCUUUAAGAUGUGACUUCCGGCUGUUUCAACAGAACGACACUACCUGCAAGUGUGCACUAACCUAGAGAAGGUUCAGACAUAAACACUCAUGUGCCAUGUUGACGAUGUACUCUAAUACAACCUUUUUGGAGGACAAUUUUUAAGUAUGGUAAAGUCUCUAAAAUGGGCUUAACUAUUCGUCCCACAAUAUCUUUCUAAUUGUUUUCUGGAGACAGGGUCUCACCAUGUCUCCCAAGCUGGUCUCAAACUCCUGGGCUCAAGCAAU